GUGCUUGCUUUGGCAGCACACAUACUAAAAUUGGAACAAUACACAGAAGAUUAGCACGGCCCUUUCGCAAGGAUGACAUGAAAAUUCAUGAAACGUUCCAUACUUUU
Molecule: small nuclear RNA, 107 nt
Organism: Ictidomys tridecemlineatus (thirteen-lined ground squirrel)
Lineage: Eukaryota; Metazoa; Chordata; Mammalia; Rodentia; Sciuridae
Source: Ensembl